UACGGAGGGAGCUAGCGUUGUUCGGAAUUACUGGGCGUAAAGCGCACGUAGGCGGCUUUGUAAGUUAGAGGUGAAAUCCUGGAGCUCAACUCCAGAACUGCCUUCGAUACUGGAGAGCUUGAGUCCGGGAGAGGUGAGUGGAACUGCGAGUGUAGAGGUGAAAUUCGUAGAUAUUCGCAAGAACACCAGUGGCGAAGGCGGCUCACUGGCCCGGUACUGACGCUGAGGUGCGAAAGCGUGGGGAGCAAACAGG
This 253-nucleotide ribosomal RNA is filed under the name uncultured bacterium. RNAcentral's name for it is "partial 16S ribosomal RNA". It matches the Rfam family "Bacterial small subunit ribosomal RNA", at positions 524 to 776 of the family's 1533-position model. The record is from RNAcentral.